RNAcentral lists this ribosomal RNA (278 nucleotides) under uncultured Spirochaeta sp. Its description in RNAcentral is "partial 16S ribosomal RNA". It matches the Rfam family "Bacterial small subunit ribosomal RNA", at positions 1106 to 1382 of the family's 1533-position model. The record is from RNAcentral. Lineage: Bacteria; Pseudomonadati; Spirochaetota; Spirochaetia; Spirochaetales; Spirochaetaceae.
CGCUAUCUGUUGCCAGCAAGUAAUGUUGGGGACGUCAGAUGGAACUGCCGGUGACAAACCGGAGGAAGGUGGGACGACGUCAAGUCAUCAUGGCCCUUACUGUCCUGGGCUACACACGUGCUACAAUGGCCGGUACAGAGCGCAGCGAAGCCGCGAGGCAAAGCGAAUCGCAAAAAGCCGGUCUCAGUACGGAUUGGAGUCUGAAACUCGACUCCAUGAAGUUGGAAUCGCUAGUAAUCGCGCAUCAGCAUGGCGCGGUGAAUACGUUCCCGGGCCUU